UCGGGGUCAUCAAAGCCUUUUUUUUUUUAUACCUCCUCCAUCCUGACUCCUGAGGGAAAAGUUUGCAAGAACCGACGGACGAGCGCCUCUCGAGCGCGGGCGAGCUUUCUUUUGAGAUCCAAUCGAUCGCCGGAAAUGCCUGUGAGAGUGGUCGAGAGCUCGACUACUUCGCAAGUUUCAGGCUUUUGCUGGAACUCAGAAUGUUUCGAGUUUACAGAAAGAUGAAGCAUGGAAAGUUAAUGUACGGAUCCAAGGAUGUGAUCUUGAAAAUGGUUAUUUAUGUGGUACAAUGGAGGCACUCAAUGUUCCUUGAGCGGACACACCUGUAGUUACAUUCUGGGAGGGAGAAAUUGUUGACACUAAGAACUAUACAUUUUUCACUGGCAAGUGGGAAGCGACGUAUGACCCCACUUUUCCAGUAGUUUCUUUUCCAUUGUUGACCACAUUAUAGGGCUUGUCUAUAUUCUUCUCUCAAGCAAGUUGGUUGUGGGUUUUCUUACAGGCCAGAGGAUGACAUAAGGCACUGGUCCAAGUUUCCAUCUUUUGCCCCACUUCUGGUAAGAGAACCUUGGUCUGAGUCUCCUUUUAAUGGUUCAGAUGAAGAGGGUUCUUCUUUCUCGCUUCAGAGCCAGGUUGAGGCUGAUGGUGGUAAAUCUUUGGACCUGAGCAACUGCACUUACAUAUUUAUGGUAUUAUAUUUGCUGAACAUCUUCUCCAAUUUCCUCUUGAAGCAUGGCACUUAUUCUAUCAGCAAGAUGAUGCCUGCUUCCCAUGCAUGUUUCAGAGAUGGAAGGAGCAGUACUUUGUUAAUGUUGGAAUAGACUGCGGCUUGACUAUUGUUGGCUUCUACUAUGUUUGCUUUUCCUGCAGUGAUGGCUCUAUUAAUGGCUUUUAUUAUGAUCCAAACAGUAGCCCGUUUCAGAAGCUUGAACUAAAGUGCAGCAAUGAGAAGCACUUAGGUUUCACUUUUUCUUCAUAUCAGUUGCAGUGAGCCAAUUUUCUUGAUCAUAAAAGCUGUCUAUGAUUUUUUCCAUCUUCUGAUUACUGUGCAGUUUAUGCUGCUGAUAUUGUUUGAGCUGUUUGAUCUUUGAACAGCAAUCUUGUGUCACCAAAUGAUAAUUAUAUUUAAAAUCACUUCACCUCUUUUACUGGGCAUC
This is a non-coding RNA of Elaeis guineensis (African oil palm), 1157 nucleotides long. NCBI's taxonomy places the organism in Eukaryota, Viridiplantae, Streptophyta, Magnoliopsida, Arecales, Arecaceae. The record is from RefSeq and is a predicted model, not a curated record.